Molecule: ribosomal RNA, 253 nt
Filed under: uncultured bacterium
Lineage: Bacteria
Description: partial 16S ribosomal RNA
Rfam family: Bacterial small subunit ribosomal RNA
Source: RNAcentral
UACGUAGGGCGCAAGCGUUGUCCGGAAUUAUUGGGCGUAAAGAGCUCGUAGGCGGUCUGUUGCGUCCGCUGUGAAAUCCCAGGGCUUAACCCUGGGCUGGCAGUGGAUACGGGCAGACUAGAGGUAGGUAGGGGAGAAUGGAAUUCCCGGUGUAGCGGUGAAAUGCGCAGAUAUCGGGAGGAACGCCGGUGGCGAAGGCGGUUCUCUGGGCCUUACCUGACGCUGAGGAGCGAAAGCGUGGGGAGCGAUCAGG